Molecule: ribosomal RNA, 251 nt
Filed under: uncultured bacterium
Lineage: Bacteria
Description: partial 16S ribosomal RNA
Rfam family: Bacterial small subunit ribosomal RNA
Source: RNAcentral
GCAAGUCGAGGGGUAACAGGAUAGCUUGCUAUUGCUGACGACCGGCGCACGGGUGCGUAACGCGUAUAGAACCUACCUUUUACUAAGGGAUAGCCCAGAGAAAUUUGGAUUAAUACCUUAUGGUAUUAUUGAAUGGCAUCAUUUAAUAAUUAAAGAUUUAUUGGUAAAAGAUGGCUAUGCGUUCUAUUAGUUAGUUGGUAAGGUAACGGCUUACCAUGACUGUGAUAGGUAGGGGUCCUGAGAGGGAGAUC